This is a non-coding RNA of Trichobilharzia regenti, 45 nucleotides long. Lineage: Eukaryota; Metazoa; Platyhelminthes; Trematoda; Strigeidida; Schistosomatidae. The record is from Rfam.
AUCCAGUCGACGGGUCCCGAAUAGGACGAAAUGUGCAUCCUGGAU